RNAcentral lists this ribosomal RNA (497 nucleotides) under uncultured bacterium. Its description in RNAcentral is "partial 16S ribosomal RNA". It matches the Rfam family "Bacterial small subunit ribosomal RNA", at positions 28 to 507 of the family's 1533-position model. The record is from RNAcentral.
GACGAACGCUGGCGGCGUGCCUAAUACAUGCAAGUUGAGCGCUGAAGGUUGGUACUUGUACCGACUGGAUGAGCAGCGAACGGGUGAGUAACGCGUGGGGAAUCUGCCUUUGAGCGGGGGACAACAUUUGGAAACGAAUGCUAAUACCGCAUAAAAACUUUAAACACAAGUUUUAAGUUUGAAAGAUGCAAUUGCAUCACUCAAAGAUGAUCCCGCGUUGUAUUAGCUAGUUGGUGAGGUAAAGGCUCACCAAGGCGAUGAUACAUAGCCGACCUGAGAGGGUGAUCGGCCACAUUGGGACUGAGACACGGCCCAAACUCCUACGGGAGGCAGCAGUAGGGAAUCUUCGGCAAUGGACGAAAGUCUGACCGAGCAACGCCGCGUGAGUGAAGAAGGUUUUCGGAUCGUAAAACUCUGUUGGUAGAGAAGAACGUUGGUGAGAGUGGAAAGCUCAUCGAGUGACGGUAACUACCCAGAAAGGGACGGCUAACUACGCG